This 609-nucleotide long non-coding RNA is filed under the name Heterocephalus glaber (naked mole-rat). RNAcentral's name for it is "lncRNA (ENSHGLG00000040762.1)". Lineage: Eukaryota; Metazoa; Chordata; Mammalia; Rodentia; Bathyergidae. The record is from RNAcentral.
GCUUCAGUGGGUGUGACUUUUGCUACUGCAGUCACUCCUGAACUUCAGACUCCAGUUUCUUCAGCCUUUUAAUAGGGACUCACAGCUGUAAAUCUCCAGGAUUCCUCCAAGUCAUCCCCUCAGUCUGACACUACAUCCUAGAUCCCUGUUGUUUGGGGGUUCCAGCUUCUUGGCUUGAGCACCUGUGGAUCCUCUGGCUCCCGAGUGUGUAGAGGCCAAUGACAAUGAUGGAAGGAUCAAUUUUGAAAUCUUUACAAUGUAUUCCUCUUUUUGUCACCAUAAAAACUUACUAUCUGAAAAAUUAUUCAGGAAAGCACCACUGUAUUGGAAAGGCUUAAAUCAGCUUCCUCAAUGAUGACUCAGGCUUCUAAGAUCAAGACAUGAGUGGUCCAGUUGUUUCCUGGACGCUGGAGCUGGCCCAGAAAGCAGAAAGAGACCUCCCUUUUCUCUGAUGUUUAUAAAGACCUGCUAAGGAAGAAGCAUAAAACCACCUUCAAAGUAUCUGACUCAGAAGUAAAAUGAAAUGAACUAAAGCUGCAAUCCAACCUGAACUCAGCUCAGUUCCUCAUUUGGUUGAAAAAUAGUGCUCCUAAUUUUACCUGUCUGGCA